UUUAAAAACCAGUGCGGUAGG
RNAcentral lists this unclassified non-coding RNA (21 nucleotides) under Chlamydomonas reinhardtii. Its description in RNAcentral is "small RNA Cre_4084". The record is from RNAcentral. Lineage: Eukaryota; Viridiplantae; Chlorophyta; Chlorophyceae; Chlamydomonadales; Chlamydomonadaceae.